ACUUUCGUCUCUCCGCUGGUCCUGCCUUCUUGAUGAAAAAAUAUAUAUAUUUUACAUACAGGAUAUUUGCUCCAUUUAGAUAAGAAGGGGCAGAACAAUAGCUACCUCUGUCAGCUCUUGUUUGUCGCUGGGGCAGCCGGUCCAAGGCAGACCUUGCCUUGCACCCCAGACAGUAUUAGAGACCGUGUGUCAUCCCACAAUUUUGUUUAACAUGUUUUUUGCAUUUUUAUUUUUUUUUCUUUUGGCUGGAGCGUCUUUAGCCUGACUCACUGAAUUUCCGUCUCUUCCCACAGAUUUUUUUAUUAAUGCGUUUUCCAGUCACAGGCAAAAGUUAAGGGGAGAAAAUCGUCAAUACAAUUCGGUCGCGGCAGGCAGAGAGAAAAUAAUUAAAAGUCUGGCGAUUAAAACGUAUUUAAAACACAGUUCGGCCCCUCUCCUUUCGCCUCCCAGCAAGGAGCGUGAGACGAGGGUCCAGUCCCUGCCAGAAAUGAGCGACUCCGCGUUAGAAUGGGCACUGCACAAAAAAAAACCCUGCAACCACCAGGUCUCAAAUCUCAUUUUAGACCUGAGCAGCCUCUGACGUGCAGUUCUCUCUUUCAUUCAACCGGGCGCGAUCCCCAGAAAAGAAACGCGCUUUCCUUUUUCCGGGAAAAGCUGAAACCCUCCAAAGGACCCGAGGAAAAGAGACAAUACCCGCCUGUCCAGCUCACCCGCUUCCCCCCCUCACCCCCCCGCCCCUUGCAAAAAUAACAAGCAGCGACCAGCGGAACACAUCAUGCAACACUUUGGGCGUCCUUUAUUCCCCACUUCUGCAAACUGCUGCAGCCCGAGGAGAAUUGCAGAGGGCAGAAUAAAAAGAGGGUGAAGCCAAGAAAGAAGUGUCCAGGCAGGAGGACACUCCUGCACGUCAGAGCUCUCGGUGGAGAGGAUUACCUUGUCCAGUGCCAGUUGUGUCCAGUCUUUUUGUUCCCCCCUUAGUCCAACCGCGGGGAGGGGAGGGGGGGAGGGGGGUAAAAAUUAUAUCCAAAGUUAUUCUGCACCCGCCCCUUCCAAAAGGGAAAUGCAAUAAUGCCACUAGUGUUUCUACUCGGCUGCGGCAGAGAUGCCUUAUUAAUACUUUAUUUCUCCAAGAGCGAAGCUGGCAGGAGAGAGCUGUAGAUCCCCCUUGCCCCUCCCUCUCCUCCCUCCCCCCUCCUCUGAAAUUAGCCUCAUCAAUUCAGCUACAAUUUUUUAGUUCAGAUGCAGACACGGGACUGAACGUGACCAGACCUGGAGGUUUGAGCUUGCUGCUUGCCAGAGAUUGAGGCCGUCUGCAGCCGGGAGGUGAAGCGGGGCGGGGGGCAUGAGGGGGGGCAGAGGGGACAGCCCGACCGCCUUCCCUCUCCCCCCACCCCCGUCCUCCCCCUGUCUGCUUUACAAUCCAGGGGUCUGCGCUGGGGUCCCCGGAGAGCAGCACAUCUGGAUGCUGCUAGCGGGGUCAGGUCCCCCCUUGCCUAGGGCCACAAGAACUGGAGUUCAAUUAAAAGAAAUCACGGUUAA
This is a long non-coding RNA of Apus apus (common swift), 1539 nucleotides long. RefSeq lists it as uncharacterized. NCBI's taxonomy places the organism in Eukaryota, Metazoa, Chordata, Aves, Apodiformes, Apodidae. The record is from RefSeq and is a predicted model, not a curated record. The transcript is spliced from 2 exons.